UUAAGCGACUAAGCGUACACGGUGGAUGCCCUGGCAGUCAGAGGCGAUGAAGGACGUGCUAAUCUGCGAUAAGCGUCGGUAAGGUGAUAUGAACCGUUAUAACCGGCGAUUUCCGAAUGGGGAAACCCAGUGUGAUCCGUCACACUAUCAUUAACUGAAUCCAUAGGUUAAUGAGGCGAACCGGGGGAACUGAAACAUCUAAGUACCCCGAGGAAAAGAAAUCAACCGAGAUUCCCCCAGUAGCGGCGAGCGAACGGGGAGGAGCCCAGAGCCUGAAUCAGUAUGUGUGUUAGUGGAAGCGUCUGGAAAGGCGUGCGAUACAGGGUGACAGCCCCGUACACAAAAAUGCACAUGCUGUGAGCUCGAUGAGUAGGGCGGGACACGUGGUAUCCUGUCUGAAUAUGGGGGGACCAUCCUCCAAGGCUAAAUACUCCUGACUGACCGAUAGUGAACCAGUACCGUGAGGGAAAGGCGAAAAGAACCCCGGCGAGGGGAGUGAAAAAGAACCUGAAACCGUGUACGUACAAGCAGUGGGAGCCUCUUUAAUGGGGUGACUGCGUACCUUUUGUAUAAUGGGUCAGCGACUUAUAUUCUGUAGCAAGGUUAACCGAAUAGGGGAGCCGAAGGGAAACCGAGUCUUAACUGGGCGUUAAGUUGCAGGGUAUAGACCCGAAACCCGGUGAUCUAGCCAUGGGCAGGUUGAAGGUUGGGUAACACUAACUGGAGGACCGAACCGACUAAUGUUGAAAAAUUAGCGGAUGACUUGUGGCUGGGGGUGAAAGGCCAAUCAAACCGGGAGAUAGCUGGUUCUCCCCGAAAGCUAUUUAGGUAGCGCCUCGUGAAUUCAUCUCCGGGGGUAGAGCACUGUUUCGGCAAGGGGGUCAUCCCGACUUACCAACCCGAUGCAAACUGCGAAUACCGGAGAAUGUUAUCACGGGAGACACACGGCGGGUGCUAACGUCCGUCGUGAAGAGGGAAACAACCCAGACCGCCAGCUAAGGUCCCAAAGUCAUGGUUAAGUGGGAAACGAUGUGGGAAGGCCCAGACAGCCAGGAUGUUGGCUUAGAAGCAGCCAUCAUUUAAAGAAAGCGUAAUAGCUCACUGGUCGAGUCGGCCUGCGCGGAAGAUGUAACGGGGCUAAACCAUGCACCGAAGCUGCGGCAGCGACACUAUGUGUUGUUGGGUAGGGGAGCGUUCUGUAAGCCGUUGAAGGUGUGCUGUGAGGCAUGCUGGAGGUAUCAGAAGUGCGAAUGCUGACAUAAGUAACGAUAAAGCGGGUGAAAAGCCCGCUCGCCGGAAGACCAAGGGUUCCUGUCCAACGUUAAUCGGGGCAGGGUGAGUCGACCCCUAAGGCGAGGCCGAAAGGCGUAGUCGAUGGGAAACAGGUUAAUAUUCCUGUACUUGGUGUUACUGCGAAGGGGGGACGGAGAAGGCUAUGUUGGCCGGGCGACGGUUGUCCCGGUUUAAGCGUGUAGGCUGAUUUUCCAGGCAAAUCCGGAGAAUCAAGGCUGAGGCGUGAUGACGAGGCACUACGGUGCUGAAGCAACAAAUGCCCUGCUUCCAGGAAAAGCCUCUAAGCAUCAGGUAACAUCAAAUCGUACCCCAAACCGACACAGGUGGUCAGGUAGAGAAUACCAAGGCGCUUGAGAGAACUCGGGUGAAGGAACUAGGCAAAAUGGUGCCGUAACUUCGGGAGAAGGCACGCUGAUGGUAGGUGAAGCGACUUGCUCGUGGAGCUGAAAUCAGUCGAAGAUACCAGCUGGCUGCAACUGUUUAUUAAAAACACAGCACUGUGCAAACACGAAAGUGGACGUAUACGGUGUGACGCCUGCCCGGUGCCGGAAGGUUAAUUGAUGGGGUCAGCCGCAAGGCGAAGCUCUUGAUCGAAGCCCCGGUAAACGGCGGCCGUAACUAUAACGGUCCUAAGGUAGCGAAAUUCCUUGUCGGGUAAGUUCCGACCUGCACGAAUGGCGUAAUGAUGGCCAGGCUGUCUCCACCCGAGACUCAGUGAAAUUGAACUCGCUGUGAAGAUGCAGUGUACCCGCGGCAAGACGGAAAGACCCCGUGAACCUUUACUAUAGCUUGACACUGAACAUUGAGCCUUGAUGUGUAGGAUAGGUGGGAGGCUUUGAAGUGUGGACGCCAGUCUGCAUGGAGCCGACCUUGAAAUACCACCCUUUAAUGUUUGAUGUUCUAACGUGGACCCGUGAACCGGGUUGCGGACAGUGUCUGGUGGGUAGUUUGACUGGGGCGGUCUCCUCCUAAAGAGUAACGGAGGAGCACGAAGGUUGGCUAAUCCUGGUCGGACAUCAGGAGGUUAGUGCAAUGGCAUAAGCCAGCUUGACUGCGAGCGUGACGGCGCGAGCAGGUGCGAAAGCAGGUCAUAGUGAUCCGGUGGUUCUGAAUGGAAGGGCCAUCGCUCAACGGAUAAAAGGUACUCCGGGGAUAACAGGCUGAUACCGCCCAAGAGUUCAUAUCGACGGCGGUGUUUGGCAC
This 2496-nucleotide ribosomal RNA is filed under the name human gut metagenome. Its description in RNAcentral is "bacterial LSU rRNA". It matches the Rfam family "Bacterial large subunit ribosomal RNA", at positions 1 to 2524 of the family's 2925-position model. The record is from RNAcentral.